AAUGGGGGAACCCUGAUCCAGCCAUGCCGCGUGUGUGAAGAAGGGCCUUAUGGUUGUAAAGCACUUUAAGCGAGGAGGAGGGUACCUUAGUUAAUACCUAAGAAGUAUNCGGACGUUACUCGCAGAAUAAGCACCGGCUAACUCUGUGCCAGCAGCCGCGGUAAUACAGAGGGUGCAAGCGUUAAUCGGAUUUACUGGGCGUAAAGCGUGCGUAGGCGGCUAAUUAAGUCGGAUGUGAAAUCCCCGAGCUCAACUUGGGAAUUGCAUUCGAUACUGGUUAGCUAGAGUAUGGGAGAGGAUGGUAGAAUUCCAGGUGUAGCGGUGAAAUGCGUAGAGAUCUGGAGGAAUACCGAUGGCGAANGCAGCCAUCUGGCCUAAUACUGACGCUGAGGUACGAAAGCAUGGGGAGCAAACAGGAUUAGAUACCCUGGUAGUCCAUGCCGUAAACGAUGUCUACUAGCCG
This 463-nucleotide ribosomal RNA is filed under the name bacterium T-2-0-4D. Its description in RNAcentral is "bacterial SSU rRNA". It matches the Rfam family "Bacterial small subunit ribosomal RNA", at positions 370 to 822 of the family's 1533-position model. The record is from RNAcentral.